Molecule: long non-coding RNA, 1278 nt
Filed under: Homo sapiens (human)
Lineage: Eukaryota; Metazoa; Chordata; Mammalia; Primates; Hominidae
Description: non-protein coding lnc-RAB23-53:30
Source: RNAcentral
AUAAGCCGGGGUGGAGGAUGCCUAGGCGUAUUUGUGGUAUUGACCAUGUUCUUGUUUUUGUUUGUGACCAGACCAGAUUACAGAGGGGUAUUGAUUUGCCUUGCCCCCGCCCCCACCAUCACAGUGUGUCCCUGUCCAGUGUUGGUGCUGUGUGGCAUUGCUUGUGUCCAUAGGAGUCCAUCAAGGCAGAGCGGCAGAGCGGCAAGCAGAGCGGCAAGGCAGUUCAACCCAAUGGAAAUGGAUUGAAAGAGUGAAAGUCACUGGUCUCAAAGAAUCUACGGAAUUUAGCAUUUUGAAAAUCACAGAGCAAUUUUGGGUAGGUAUUCACAUGCACUAAAAAACCAGGCAAACAUCUGACUCCCAGGAUAAAGUGACUGAGAGCAGUAGAAGACUUGUUGAGCCUUAAGGAAUAAGAGGAAAAUUAUGUUAUGAAGUGCAGGAACAGCACAGACCCAGACGAGGGGAUGCAGCCCGGAGCCAGUAACCCGGCGCCUCCUCCUCCCCAGGGCGCAGCGCUGGCUGCUCCCCGGAUACCGUGAUCACACGUCCCAGGUCCUGAGAGCGCCUCAUAGGUAGACAGUUCUUUGGGACUUUUGGGACGCAGCACUUGAAGAGAGGUUUACCUAAACUUUCCUCCUGGGAGCCUGUCAUCAUUUGAAAGUAACAGAAGAAAGCUGUCAGGCUGAGGAAAGUUUCAACAGGCACUUGGUGAGAAUGGGAAGCAUCCAUUCAUUGGGAAAUCACGGGGACAGAGGAGGAAUUCACGGGAUCAGAGCACUGAGAAACUCCAGAGGCUUCUGGUUCACCGCCCUGAUUCCACAGAUGUGGGUCAGAGGCAGAGAUGGAAGUUGGAAUGGACAAGCCUGCCCUCUCCUCAGCUCUCCAUGGCUCUGUCCUCAGGCUGUUUCUGCAAUUUGACAUGAGGCCUGGCCCCAGGGAAACCAGUGGGGCCUCAUCUCCUCCCUGUGCUGCUCUGAGGUGGAGCCUUCUCAGGGUCAGUCCAGCUCUGGAGCCCCUCUCCAGCUCGGUCACCAAAGCUGUCUGGUCCCAGGGCAGUGUGGAGUGACAGGCACGCCAGCCAAUCCAAUCGGCCAUUUCAUACCCAAUGCAUGUGACUGAUAAAGAGAUAACACCCUGUCUCCAAGACACAGGCUUUACAUAAACAGCUUUAAUGACUUCUUCACUUAGGGACAAGACUCCUUAGUGGUGGAACCUCAGGCAUCCAUGCAGGAUGUAAGAAAGCUCCCGUAUAUACAUGAACUGAGAAGUGUGUAGAAG